GGCGACCGCUUUUGGAGUUCGAUUAAGCCAUGCGAGUAGAAAGAAAUUAGAUUCUUUGCGAACUGCUCAGUAACACGUGGAUAACCUGCCCUAUGCUCUGGAAUAACCUUGGGAAACUGAGAAUAAUACCGGAUAGAUCACAACGCCUGGAACGGUGUGUGGUUGAAAGAUUACGGCAUAGGAUGGGUCUGCGGCGUAUCAGGUUGUAGGGGGUGUAACGGACCUCCUAGCCAUCGACGCGUACGGGUGUUGGGAGACAUAGCCCGGAGAUGGAUUCUGAGACACGAAUCCAGACCCUACGGGGUGCAGCAGGCGCGAAAACUUCACACUGCAGGAAACUGUGAUGAGGGAACUCCAAGUGCGUGCACUUAGUGUGCGCUUUUCUUGACUAUUAAUCGGUCAUGGAAUAAGGGCUGGGAAAGACCGGUGCCAGCCGCCGCGGUAAUACCGGCAGCUCAAGUGGUCGUCGCUUUUAUUGGGCCUAAAACGUCCGUAGCCUGUUUGGUAAAUCUGUGGGUAAAUCAACCAGCUUAACUGGUUGAAUUCUGCAGAGACUGCCAGACUAGGGACCGGGAGAGGUGUGGGGUACUCUAGGGGUAGGGGUAAAAUCCUGUCAUCCUUAGAGGACCACCAGUUGCGAAGGCGCCACACUGGAACGGAUUCGACGGUCAGGGACGAAGCCUAGGGGCACGGACCGGAUUAGAUACCCGGGUAGUCCUAGGUGUAAACGCUGUGAACUUGGUGUCGGGGAUCCGUCAUGGGUCCCCGGUGCCGGAGUGAAGAUGUUAAGUUCACUGCCUGGGGAGUACGGUCGCAAGGCUGAAACUUAAAGGAAUUGGCGGGGGAGCACUGCAACGGGAGGAGCGUGCGGUUU
This 874-nucleotide ribosomal RNA is filed under the name uncultured archaeon. Its description in RNAcentral is "bacterial SSU rRNA". It matches the Rfam family "Archaeal small subunit ribosomal RNA", at positions 21 to 903 of the family's 1478-position model. The record is from RNAcentral.